GCAUAGCUCAGUGGUAGAGCAGAAGCCCAGCAUGCACAAGGCCCUGGGUUCAAUCCCCAGCACUGCA
Molecule: transfer RNA, 67 nt
Filed under: Marmota monax (woodchuck)
Lineage: Eukaryota; Metazoa; Chordata; Mammalia; Rodentia; Sciuridae
Description: tRNA.Ala
Source: RNAcentral